Molecule: ribosomal RNA, 206 nt
Filed under: uncultured bacterium
Lineage: Bacteria
Description: partial 16S ribosomal RNA
Rfam family: Bacterial small subunit ribosomal RNA
Source: RNAcentral
CAUGUAGGCGGAAAUUUAAGUCUGUUGUGAAAAUGCGGGGCUCAACCCCGUAUUGCGAUGGAAACUGGGUUUCUUGAGUGCAGGAGAGGAAAGGGGAAUUCCCAGUGUAGCGGUGAAAUGCGUAGAUAUUGGGAGGAACACCAGUGGCGAAGGCGCCUUUCUGGACUGCGUCUGACGCUGAGAUGCGAAAGCUAGGGGAGCGAACG